Molecule: small nuclear RNA, 83 nt
Filed under: Chelonia mydas (Green sea turtle)
Lineage: Eukaryota; Metazoa; Chordata; Testudines; Cheloniidae
Source: RNAcentral
AGGGAAAUUGGAACAUACAGAGAAGAUUAGCAUGGCCCCUGCGCAAGGAUGACACGCAAAUCUGAGAUACUACCUAGUCUGUC